Non-coding RNA from Cricetulus griseus (Chinese hamster), 819 nucleotides. NCBI's taxonomy places the organism in Eukaryota, Metazoa, Chordata, Mammalia, Rodentia, Cricetidae. The record is from RefSeq and is a predicted model, not a curated record.
AAAAGCCCCACCUCUCCACGCAGAGACUACGAUUCCCAGCAGGCAGAGCCACAAGGUUUUCCAAGUUCCUCCGGACCUACGACGGCGCCUCCCGCGCGGGGGAUGCUGGGAGUGGGUAUGAGGCCGCUGACCUAGUAGCUGACUGGAUCUAGAUGUGGACAGAGGAGAGCGACGUGGCCUGACUUCCGAGUCUAGUAUUUGGAACUGACCAGUGAUUCAUCUUCUCGAGAAGAGCCUUGCACUCCCCACGCCUGGACCCCGAACUGCAGGGACAGAAAAACUCAAGGACACGAGACUUAUUUUGAGAGUUUUACAGAACACUCAUGCAAAGUUUAAUGGGGAACCACUCCAGGCCCUCAGAGACCAGAUUAUGACAUCAGCACUAACUGCAGGUGCUAGGCCCCAGGCCUGCCUUGCCCAAAGCCUGGAGGCUGAGGCAGGAGACCCGACAGUUUGAGGCCCCUGUGGAAUACAGAGAGACAGAUGGGGAAAAGGAAAACAGAGGGGCCUUAGGCGUCUGGAAGAAUGCAAACUUCAGCUCCUGGGUUCAUAUUCCAAAGGACUGGUGACGGAGGAAAAGACUGAACAAGCAGACAGGCUGUUGGGUCCAUUCUGCAAACCUUCACUCAGUGUCCCUUGCACAGGACAGAAACAGAGAGCACGAGGCUGCUGGUCUUCAUCAGUUCUCCAGCUCCCUGGUUUUUUUGGUGGGGUCUCCCUGUAGCCUUAAGUGGCUUGAAGUUUUCUAUGUAGUGCAGGCUGACCACAAAAUCUGCCUACCUCUGCCCCCCAUGUGCGGGGAUUAAAGGGGAGCCAACA